CAAGUCGAACGCGAAAGUCCCCUUCGGGGGACAAGUAGAGUGGCGUCCGGGUGAGUAACACGUAGGUAAUCUACCUUCGGGUGGGGAAUAACGCAGGGAAACUUGCGCUAAUACCGCAUAAUGCAGCGGCACCACAUGGUGACAGUUGUUAAAGCGGGGGAUUUUCGAACCUCGCGCCUGAAGAGGAGCCUGCGGCAGAUUAGCUAGUUGGUAAGGUAAUGGCUUACCAAGGCGACGAUCUGUAACCGGCCUGAGAGGGCGGUCGGUCACACUGACACUGACAUACGGGUCAGACUCCUACGGGAGGCAGCAGUCGGGAAUUUUGGGCAAUGGGCGAAAGCCUGACCCAGCAACGCCGCGUGAAGGAUGAAAUCCUUCGGGAUGUAAACUUCGCAAGAAUGGGAAGAAUGAGUAGGGGCUAAUACUCCCUAUGAUGACGGUACCAUUUGUAAGCUCCGGCUAACUCCGUGCCAGCAGCCGCGGUAAUACGGGGGGAGCAAGCGUUGUUCGGAUUUACUGGGCGUAAAGGGCGCGUAGGCGGCCAGCGCAAGUCAGUUGUGAAAUCUCCGGGCUUAACUCGGAACGGUCAACUGAUACUGCGCGGCUAGAGUGCGGAAGGGGCAACUGGAAUUCUCGGUGUAGCGGUGAAAUGCGUAGAUAUCGAGAGGAACACCUGCGGCGAAGGCGGGUUGCUGGGCCGACACUGACGCUGAUGCGCGAAAGCCAGGGGAGCGAACGGGAUUAGAUACCCCGGUAGUCCUGGCCUUAAACGAUGGAUGCUUGGUGUCUGGAAUUUUAUAGUCUCCGGGUGCCGCAGCUAACGCGUUAAGCAUCCCGCCUGGGGAGUACGGUCGCAAGACUGAAACUCAAAGGAAUUGACGGGGACCCGCACAAGCGGUGGA
RNAcentral lists this ribosomal RNA (902 nucleotides) under uncultured Pseudomonadota bacterium. RNAcentral describes it as "bacterial SSU rRNA". It matches the Rfam family "Bacterial small subunit ribosomal RNA", at positions 58 to 936 of the family's 1533-position model. The record is from RNAcentral. Lineage: Bacteria; Pseudomonadati; Pseudomonadota.